Molecule: ribosomal RNA, 497 nt
Filed under: uncultured bacterium
Lineage: Bacteria
Description: partial 16S ribosomal RNA
Rfam family: Bacterial small subunit ribosomal RNA
Source: RNAcentral
GAUGAACGCUGGCGGCGUGCCUAAUACAUGCAAGUCGAGCGAACAGACGAGGAGCUUGCUCCUUUGACGUUAGCGGCGGACGGGUGAGUAACACGUAGGUAACCUACCUAUAAGACUGGGAUAACUUCGGGAAACCGGAGCUAAUACCGGAUAAUAUAUUGAACCGCAUGGUUCGAUAGUGAAAGAUGGCUUUGCUAUCACUUAUAGAUGGACCUGCGCCGUAUUAGCUAGUUGGUAAGGUAACGGCUUACCAAGGCAACGAUACGUAGCCGACCUGAGAGGGUGAUCGGCCACACUGGAACUGAGACACGGUCCAGACUCCUACGGGAGGCAGCAGUAGGGAAUCUUCCGCAAUGGGCGAAAGCCUGACGGAGCAACGCCGCGUGAGUGAUGAAGGUCUUCGGAUCGUAAAACUCUGUUAUUAGGGAAGAACAAACGUGUAAGUAACUGUGCACGUCUUGACGGUACCUAAUCAGAAAGCCACGGCUAACUACGUG